CUGUCGUCGGCGACCCUCUUGGUCCUCGCAGGCCAAGAGAUCUCCACGAAUUCGUCAUUGUUCUAUCCCGAAAUAUUUGUGACGAGUGGAGUUAUUUGAUUGCUUGAUUAAUAUAUUCAUAUCAAAAUCGGAUCAAUACAAGCGGAGAUUGCGGCGCGGAGAACACGCUGAAGUCAGGGGAUGUUACACCGUGCGAGGAAUGCGGAUACCGCAUCUUUUACAAGAAGCCCACAUGGAGAAGCCUCUCAUCUUGACUUCCGAGUCCUUCGUUCAAUCUAGUAUAAGCUUCAAGGACUUAUUCAAUACGCGCUUCAUGUUGACUCGAGGUGACAUGAUGACCAGGAUCCAACAACUCGUUCGACCUAUAGCUUCUUCAUUGACCAAGGCUUCAAAGUCUUCUUUCACGAAGUUGGCAUUUGAUUUCCAUGGCACCCACUCUCGUAGUUAACAAUGUCUUCGUUUACGCGUUGGAACAGCAGGAUUUGUUGGUCAUCGUCAAUGGAUUCCAUUCAUCGAGUAAGAUGCUUACUUGCAGGUGACCUACUAAAAGCCAACGGAAGCAAAAGGCUGCAAGAAGAAAACACUAGUCUUUUUUUGCAGUCAAUUCAACUCCGAAGAAAAAGAAGAACAUGAUUCAGCAAGCAGGAAGGACAAAGUUGAUGAGGUCGUGCAUCGAGUAAGCUGCUUACAUGCAGUAAGAGGAAUCAUGGAGUCUUAUUUCAGUUCAUAUCUGAAGAAGGAUAUAUCUGAUGAGGUCACGCAUCGAUUCAUAUGCUUAGUUGCAGAUGAGCUACAUAUUGUGAUCCAUGAGAGAGUUGACUAAUUCAGCAGCUAACACCACCUACUCCAACUUUUAAUUAGCCCAUGUGAUAUCAUGAAUGCAGAAGAUCUGAUAUAUGUUCCAGAGUCAACGCUAUAAAUUGCAUGGAAUCAUUUUGG
Musa acuminata AAA Group (dessert banana) is the source of this 939-nucleotide long non-coding RNA. RefSeq lists it as uncharacterized. NCBI's taxonomy places the organism in Eukaryota, Viridiplantae, Streptophyta, Magnoliopsida, Zingiberales, Musaceae. The transcript is spliced from 3 exons. The record is from RefSeq and is a predicted model, not a curated record.